GAUGAACGCUGGCGGCGUGCCUAAUACAUGCAAGUCGAGCGAACAGAUAAGGAGCUUGCUCCUUUGACGUUAGCGGCGGACGGGUGAGUAACACGUGGAUACCCUACCUAUAAGACUGGGAUAACUUCGGGAAACCGGAGCUAAUACCGGAUAACAUAUUGAACCGCAUGGUUCAAUAGUGAAAGGCGGCUUUGCUGUCACUUAUAGAUGGAUCCGCGCCGUAUUAGCUAGUUGGUAAGGUAACGGCUUACCAAGGCAACGAUACGUAGCCGACCUGAGAGGGUGAUCGGCCACACUGGAACUGAGACACGGUCCAGACUCCUACGGGAGGCAGCAGUAGGGAAUCUUCCGCAAUGGGCGAAAGCCUGACGGAGCAACGCCGCGUGAGUGAUGAAGGUCUUCGGAUCGUAAAACUCUGUUAUCAGGGAAGAACAAAUGUGUAAGUAACUGUGCACAUCUUGACGGUACCUGAUCAGAAAGCCACGGCUAACUACGUG
This 497-nucleotide ribosomal RNA is filed under the name uncultured bacterium. RNAcentral's name for it is "partial 16S ribosomal RNA". It matches the Rfam family "Bacterial small subunit ribosomal RNA", at positions 28 to 507 of the family's 1533-position model. The record is from RNAcentral.